AAUGAAACGACACGUGUUUUAUAUGAUGUUGAAAGCUUCAAUUGAUACGUACAAUACAAGUCUCCUGAAGGGAUAUUCUUGUUCUUGAGGAGACCAUUUCUCCUUUAGACUUUCAACUUCUUUCUCUUUGUCUCCGAGAAGAAAGAGGUUCAUCGUCUUCUGAUCUUCUCUUAUCCUUUUAUAAUCUUCUAAUUUGUCUUUCUAAUAACAACAGGUCAUUCACAAGAUCCUGGUGAAUAUAUAAUCCCUAGGAAAGAUGUCAAUCCUGUGCAACAAUGGCAGAAAAAGAGACAAGAGAAGAAGAAAAGAGAAAGAGACAACGAUAGAAGAGACUCAGCAAUGUUGUUGUUGUUGCCUGUGGCCUCAAUUUUCAAUGGUCAGAGGAAUAAAGAGAUGUCUCUUCAUCUCAUGUUAUCCAUUUAUUCGCUGUUUAGGGUUGGAAGAGAGAAGGCAUCGUCAUCAUCUUCAUUACCAAAACCAUUUCCUAUGAUAAUUUUUGUGUGUAUUCAUUCGUAUAUAAGCUUGAGAUUACUAUAAGCAUAUAUAUGAAAACAUUUCUUGAUUUCUAGAAAAAAAAAAAAAAAAAACUUGUAACAUAACUCAAAAUAAGGAAUCAUCAAGACAAUGAAAUGUUUGGUUAGCUAGGGGCUACAUUU
This is a long non-coding RNA of Camelina sativa (false flax), 656 nucleotides long. RefSeq lists it as uncharacterized. The record is from RefSeq and is a predicted model, not a curated record. Lineage: Eukaryota; Viridiplantae; Streptophyta; Magnoliopsida; Brassicales; Brassicaceae.